This 519-nucleotide ribosomal RNA is filed under the name uncultured Actinomycetes bacterium. RNAcentral describes it as "bacterial SSU rRNA". It matches the Rfam family "Bacterial small subunit ribosomal RNA", at positions 242 to 774 of the family's 1533-position model. The record is from RNAcentral. Lineage: Bacteria; Bacillati; Actinomycetota; Actinomycetes.
UCGCUUGUUGGUGAGGUAUGGCUCACCAAGGCGACGACGGGUAGCCGGCCUGAGAGGGCGACCGGCCACACUGGGACUGAGACACGGCCCAGACUCCUACGGGAGGCAGCAGUGGGGAAUAUUGCACAAUGGGCGAAAGCCUGAUGCAGCGACGCCGCGUGAGGGAUGACGGCCUUCGGGUUGUAAACCUCUUUCAGCAGGGAAGAAGCGAAAGUGACGGUACCUGCAGAAGAAGCGCCGGCUAACUACGUGCCAGCAGCCGCGGUAAUACGUAGGGCGCAAGCGUUGUCCGGAAUUAUUGGGCGUAAAGAGCUCGUAGGCGGCUUGUCGCGUCGGUUGUGAAAGCCCGGGGCUUAACCCCGGGUCUGCAGUCGAUACGGGCAGGCUAGAGUUCGGUAGGGGAGAUCGGAAUUCCUGGUGUAGCGGUGAAAUGCGCAGAUAUCANGAGGAACACCGGUGGCGAAGGCGGAUCUCUGGGCCGAUACUGACGCUGAGGAGCGAAAGCGUGGGGAGCGAACA